UACCAGCACCCCGAGUGGUCGGGACGUUUAUUGGGCCUAAAGCAUCCGUAGCCGGUUCUACAAGUCUUCCGUUAAAUCCAACUGCUUAACAGGUGGGCUGCGGAAGAUACUAUAGAGCUAGGAGGCGGGAGAGGCAAGCGGUACUCGAUGGGUAGGGGUAAAAUCCGUUGAUCCAUAGAAGACCACCGGUGGCGAAGGCGGUGGUCUGGGCCGGCACUGACGCUGAGGAGCGAAAGCGUGGGUAGCAAACAGG
This 253-nucleotide ribosomal RNA is filed under the name uncultured bacterium. RNAcentral describes it as "partial 16S ribosomal RNA". It matches the Rfam family "Archaeal small subunit ribosomal RNA", at positions 474 to 727 of the family's 1478-position model. The record is from RNAcentral.